UACGAAGGGUGCAAACGUUGCUCGGAAUUAUUGGGCGUAAAGCGCACGUAGGCGGCUUGGCAAGUCGGGUGUGAAAGCCCUCGGCUCAACCGAGGAAGUGCGCCCGAAACUGCAGAGCUUGAGUACCGGAGAGGAUGGCGGAAUUCCCCAAGUAGAGGUGAAAUUCGUAGAUAUGGGGAGGAACACCGGUGGCGAAGGCGGCAUCCUGGACCAACACUGACGCUGAGGAGCGAAAGCCAGGGGAGCAAACGGG
RNAcentral lists this ribosomal RNA (253 nucleotides) under uncultured bacterium. RNAcentral describes it as "partial 16S ribosomal RNA". It matches the Rfam family "Bacterial small subunit ribosomal RNA", at positions 524 to 776 of the family's 1533-position model. The record is from RNAcentral.